CGCCUCUAGUCUACCUUAUUAGAGGUCCAUUCUGCCCUAUGCCUUACGAGGUAAAUGGCCGCGGUAACCUGACCGUGCUAAGGUAGCAUAAUCAUUUGCCAUUUAAUUGGUGGCUAGUAUGAACGAAUAUACGAGAUCAGAACUGUCUCUUGUUUAUUACUAAAAAUUGACCUUCAAGUGAAGAGACUUGACUUAAAUAAAAAGACGAAAAGACCCUAUAGAGCUUUAUUUUAACUUAAUCUACUCUCUUAAGUGAAAAUUUAGUUGGGGCAACUAGAGGGAAACUAAAACACCUCUAAAAUAAAAUUAAGAUCCAGCAACGCUGAUUAAAAGAAAAAGCUACCUUAGGGAUAACAGGCUAAUCCUGUUUUAGAGACCAUAUUGACAACAGGGCUUGGCACCUCGAUGUUGGCUCAAGGACAACCCCCCGAUGCAGCAGUCAGGGAAGGUAGGUUUGUUCACCCUUUAAUUCCUU
RNAcentral lists this ribosomal RNA (475 nucleotides) under Pseudopolydora tsubaki. RNAcentral's name for it is "partial 16S ribosomal DNA". It matches the Rfam family "Bacterial large subunit ribosomal RNA", at positions 1829 to 2597 of the family's 2925-position model. The record is from RNAcentral. Lineage: Eukaryota; Metazoa; Annelida; Polychaeta; Spionida; Spionidae.